AAAAAUGAAAAAAAAACUAAAGUUUAUUUGUUUCUCUUAGAUGAUAAGCAAAUAAGAGCACCGAGAGAGAUAAAGACUGUCACGCCCCCGCCUCUGCGAGGCACGUGAGGCACGUAGUGCUCACGUGGGGGCUACAUCAGGGGGGAACACGAGGCUCCCCUGCCAGAUAUUGUCCGGUUCUGGGGCUUCAUGCAAGCGUCCUUCAUCCCUCCUCGAUUUUGUUUUUCACCCAAAACGCAUCUGCAGGAUUAGGAGACACCCACCUCAUAUGCCCAGGCUCUGAAACGAGUCUUUCCGAUGUGGGACUAUUGGGCCUCACACCCUUCCCACCAUCGGACAAGAGCCGUCCUCGGCUUUGAUACCAAAUGUCACGUCCCCGCCUGCCCGCUAAUGAGGGCCGUCUGCCGAGCUAUUAUAAUCCGCUGGCGAGAGCCGUACAUAGCAAUCUGAG
This 451-nucleotide long non-coding RNA is filed under the name Phoenix dactylifera (date palm). RNAcentral describes it as "long non-coding RNA (PDAC_LNC001752)". The record is from RNAcentral. Lineage: Eukaryota; Viridiplantae; Streptophyta; Magnoliopsida; Arecales; Arecaceae.